Phyllopteryx taeniolatus (common seadragon) is the source of this 3035-nucleotide long non-coding RNA. RefSeq lists it as uncharacterized. The record is from RefSeq and is a predicted model, not a curated record. NCBI's taxonomy places the organism in Eukaryota, Metazoa, Chordata, Actinopteri, Syngnathiformes, Syngnathidae. The transcript is spliced from 3 exons.
UGUGAAGCGGCUGGGAUGAGAAUCAGCCUCCAAAUCUGAGACCAUGGUCCUCAGUCGGAAAAGGGUGGCGUGCCCUCUCCAGGUCGGGGAUGAGAUCCUGCCCCAAGUGGAGGACUUCAAGUUUUUUGGGGUCUUGUUCACGAGUGAGGGAAGAAUGGAACGGGAGAUGGACAGGCGGAUUGGUGCAGCAUCUGCAGUGUUGUGGACUUUGUAUCGAUCAGUUGUGGUAAAGAAGGAGCUAAGCCGAAGCUACCAAUGCUAAUGAUAGCCAUGCCGCUACACAGUAAAGGCUAACACAAGUGGAGUUGAGGUAUUGCAAUCAUACUUGUUUAAAACUUUGCCAAGUAAUUCGGUACUGGAGAUUAUUUUAUUACUUGUGUUUUUUGAUAAACAUUUUGCUAACAAUUUGCUGUUUUACAUACAAAAUGACUAAAAGCUACUUACAGUAUAUGUCAAGAGUGGCGCGGUAAUAUUUAUACAGUAUAUUCAGGCAUAUCAUUCGCGUAAUUGCAUAACUGCUCAAGUCAUUUUUAACUUACUGUCACAAUAUGUGCUUGAUAAAAUUAUGUUUUUUUUCUCUUUGUCUGAGCUGGAUGAAGUGGCUGGGGAGCGGGAAGUCUGGUCUUCCCUGCUAAAGCUACUGCCCCCACGACCCGACCUCGGAUAAGCAGAAGAAAAUAGAAGGCUGGAUGAAACAAACAAGAUUUACUUGGUUGUUUAAUUUCACACAAAAUUAGUGAGCAGGCAUGACAGGCACCCAACUAUUUGCAUACAAGCCAUGAAAAAGAUAAUUUUCCAUAUGCCCCCUUUAAAGUUUUGUCCUGUAUGUACCUCAUCUGUAUGUCUUCAUAUCAGAACGUCUUGAAGCUGCUCGUGAACGCAGCAGUCGCGAUGGACGCUGCAAUUGUUUUCCAUCGUGACAUCAAAAUGGAAAACGUCCUCAUUGACACCAGCUCUGAGGUCCCUCGUGUCUGGAUCAUCGAUCUUGGAAACGGAUUGUUUGGGACCACUUUGGUGCAGAAGCAUUUCUUUGAAGUUGCUGCAUGUUGGGGAGUACGAGCCCUACCGCACUACUCUUUCGUAGCUCGGGAACCUGAUCUUCGAAAUUUUGCAUUGUGCUCAAUUUGAACUUUAGGAGUUCUUCCUAAAGAAGCAAAUUGACUCAAGACUCUCUAAUACCUGCCAGGAUCUCCUGAGAGCAAGCCUGACAAGAGACCCUGACGCCCGUACCACUCUCUCCCAGCUCCAACAACACCCUUGGUUCCACUGAGGUUGCACAGACCGUCCCCUGAAGACUACUGAUCAGCAUAUUUUAUUCCUGAAAUUGUCGUAUGAACUGCAUAUAUUGCUGUACAAAGAGAUCAAACAGUGACUAGAUGCUUCAAUUUAAAUCACACUGUGUUUAUACUGUAUAUUUCGUCACGUCUCUUUUUAUAUUUGUAAAUUUUAGGAAAAGUGACAAAAAAACUCUAUCAAUCUUUGUACUCUAGAAGGCUUGCUAUAUGGAUGAAAUAAUACUUCUCGAUUACAGUGGUUUGCUGUUGUACUCAAACAAACAAAGUACAUGACCGAAAGUGGAAUUUUACAGAAAAUGUUAUUAAAUCUACAGGGGAAUCUUAGGAAACAAUGCAGAGGGACUUUACUCCAAAAAGGUACAGAUAAACAUUUGUAAAGAAGCCUGAACUCGUGACGUAAGUGUGGGAGGAGUGGAUGUGCAGUGAGUGAUGCUAGAGCUGGGAAUUAGGUGACCACUCGUUUAAUCCCAAUAAUGCACCAAUUUGUAUUUGGUAAUCAUCAAGAUGUACUCAUGUUGUGCAGAACAAAAAUAGGCAUGCGUUUCAAUCCUUCCGAUGUCUGGGCAAGGAUGUCGACAGGUUGCUUUGAAGAAAAAGGAGGAAAAAGAAAAGAAGAGUAGAAUGGCUGAAGCGCCUGGGUGACGUUGUUCGUCACAUGCUCAGAGAAUUUGCGCACGCAAAAGUGUAGUUGGGGAAUCGGCAGAAUGUCUCUGCGCUCAGUAAUUAGUGAAGUGGCAAGGAAGAUUUGGCCGGGCCUAGCCCAUUUUGCCCCCCCCCCCCUCCACACCCCCUGUGGUGAGGAGUGGGCUUUGGCUGGGAGCCAGCGUCUUCAGUGGAGCAGAAGAACAAGAGUCAGAGAACAAAAGGAUUCGGUCUUUUGUACCAAGAAAAAGGGGAGUUGCCCCAAAAGACCAGAGCGGGAAGGAGAGACCACACCUCUGAUAUUGAAUGUCACUCUAAAGUUAUCUGGUCUAUAUUCCGUGGACCUAAAAUAAGAAAAUGAAUUCCCAGCUUUUGCAUUGUCUCACACAUCAUGCAAUGAGUGUUUCAACCUUAUUUGGUGGCUAAGAACACUUCAUAUCCAUGAUGUAACAUUCUGUCUGAGGUAAAACACAAUCGUCUUAUUUGGUUGACAAACAGAUUGGACAGCAGACCUGUGAAAAAACAGUCAUUAGUUGCAUUUGUAUCAUGAUAUACACUUGGAGCAUCGUGCAGGGUUCGUAAAAUAUCAAAACAGAUAUUUAACCCGGUGAAACUGUGGAUAGUAAUUUAGACUCUGAAAUGCCAGCGGGCGUUGCCCGUGCUCCACCGAUGAUCCCAGAUGGUUCAUUAUACUUCAUUUGAGUUCCUGCGAACGUCGAUGAUUAAUAAUUCCAUUGUGGCCUGUCUAACUAAUAACUCCGUUGUUGCCCUUGUCCCGAAUUGUCACAUUUGAAAAGAGGGUUUCCCAAAUUCUUGGUCAUUAGAUCAGUCCACAGAAAAAGGUCUUUGUUGGUGAAGACAGUAAGAAUUGUCAGGAGAGAGGACUGUUUAUUAGUUUAUGGCCCAGUUGAUAUAACCCAGGUUUCAUGUCUUGUGAAACAGAUCGUCUGGUUGAGGGUAAUGAAUCAGAAUCAGAAUCAUCUUUAUUUGCCAAGUAUGUCCAAAAAAAAACACAAGGAAUUUGUCUCCGGUAGUUGGAGCCGCUCUAGUACGACAACAGACAGUCAAUUGACAGGCAGGAAUGCAAAGGUCAGCAGC